AUUUGAUUAGCUAUGUUGCAGCCUCCGUGGUACAACUAUCGUACCGAACCUGGUAUACCUGUAUAGCAAAAAAUUAAUUUUCUAAACUUUUUUGAAAUAUGAUAGGUAACAGACGAUUCUGUAUUUAUCACGAUACUUAGAUGUCAACGGUUAAAAUCCAUGGACACAAUAUUUUUCACUCAGCCCUUACCUUCUCCGCGUGGCAUUGACAAAACUCGGUGGU
RNAcentral lists this unclassified non-coding RNA (223 nucleotides) under Athalia rosae (coleseed sawfly). RNAcentral describes it as "misc RNA ENSAEAG00005002711.1". The record is from RNAcentral. Lineage: Eukaryota; Metazoa; Arthropoda; Insecta; Hymenoptera; Athaliidae.